Molecule: unclassified non-coding RNA, 253 nt
Filed under: Hevea brasiliensis (rubber tree)
Lineage: Eukaryota; Viridiplantae; Streptophyta; Magnoliopsida; Malpighiales; Euphorbiaceae
Source: RNAcentral
UGAUGAAGAGAUAGAGCUUCAAGAUUAUGAGGUCCCUGACAGUGGGGAUUCCAGUGUGCAACAUUCCCGUUUCAUCGAGAAGGCCCUCGAAGUAUUAGUUCCAAUGCUGCUGGAAACUUUAUUGAAACAGGAUGAGGAACAGGAUCAAGAUGAUGACAUCUGGAAUCUGGCUAUGGCUGGUGGAACAUGUCUUGGUCUUGUCGCCAGAACUGUUGGAGAUGCUGUUGUUCCCCUUGUAAUGCCUUUUGUGGAG